Molecule: long non-coding RNA, 602 nt
Filed under: Junco hyemalis (dark-eyed junco)
Lineage: Eukaryota; Metazoa; Chordata; Aves; Passeriformes; Passerellidae
Description: lncRNA (ENSJHYG00000010790.1)
Source: RNAcentral
UUUUCCAUUGAAUUUCUCCAUUUUAAAGACAUUUUCCCACAAAGUUCUUCCAUUUUCCCAUGGAAUUUCUCAAUUUUAACGAUAUUUCUUCCCUUUUUUCCACGGAAUUUCUCAAUUUUAAAGAUAUUUUACCUGGGAAUUUCCCAAUUUUAAGGACAUUUUUCUCUGGAUUUUCUCCAUUUUAAGGACAUUUCUGCUGGUUUUUUUUUUUCUGGAAUUUCCCAAUUUUAAGAACAUUUUUCUCUGGAUUUUCUCCAUUUCUUAGGACAUUUUUUCAUUUUAAGGACAUUUUCCCAUGGAAUUUCUCAAUUUUUCCACGGAAUUCCUCCAUUUUAAGGACAUUUUUUCCCAUUUUUCCCACACGAAUUUUUCCAUUCCAAGUCCAUUUUUCCUGGGGUGUUUUUUUCCGGAACUCCUCCAUCCACAUUUCCCAUUUUUUCCCCGGAAUUCCCGAAUUUCCCCCAUUUUCCCCCGUUUCAGGCUGGCGGGCGCUGCCCCAGCUCUGCGGCCGCCUCGCGGUCCAGGAGCCACCGGAGCCGCCCCGAGCGGGGCCGGAGCCGCGCGGCCGGGACGGGCUCGGGGUCCUGCUCCUGCUCCAGGAU